RNAcentral lists this ribosomal RNA (497 nucleotides) under uncultured bacterium. RNAcentral's name for it is "partial 16S ribosomal RNA". It matches the Rfam family "Bacterial small subunit ribosomal RNA", at positions 28 to 507 of the family's 1533-position model. The record is from RNAcentral.
GAUGAACGCUGGCGGCGUGCCUAAUACAUGCAAGUCGAGCGAACGGACGAGAAGCUUGCUUCUCUGAUGUUAGCGGCGGACGGGUGAGUAACACGUGGAUAACCUACCUAUAAGUCUGGGAUAACUUCGGGAAACCGGAGCUACUACCGGAUCAUAUUUUGUACCGCAUGGUUCAAGAGUGCAAGACGGUCUUGCUGUCUCUUAUAGCUGGUUCCGCGCUGCAUUAGCUAGUUGGUAAGGUAACGGCUUACCAAGGCAACGAUGCAUAGCCGACCUGAGAGGGUGAUCGGCCACACUGGAACUGAGACACGGUCCAGACUCCUACGGGAGGCAGCAGUAGGGAAUCUUCCGCAAUGGGCGAAAGCCUGACGGAGCAACGCCGCGUGAGUGAUGAAGGUCUUCGGAUCGUAAAACUCUGUUAUUAGGGAAGAACAUAUGUGUAAGUAACUGUGCACAUCUUGACGGUACCUAAACAGAAAGCCACGGCUAACUACGUG